Balaenoptera musculus (blue whale) is the source of this 100-nucleotide long non-coding RNA. RefSeq lists it as uncharacterized. The transcript is spliced from 3 exons. NCBI's taxonomy places the organism in Eukaryota, Metazoa, Chordata, Mammalia, Artiodactyla, Balaenopteridae. The record is from RefSeq and is a predicted model, not a curated record.
UCUCAUCAGACAUAUGAUUUGCAAGUAUUUUACCCAACUUUCUGGUUGUCUUUUUACUUUCUUGAUAGUGUUCUUUGAAGGAUAAAAAGUUUUAAUUUUG